CCCCUUUCAGGGUCACACCUGGAGAGUUUCCAGAACUCCACCAGACUCGACUACAAGAGGGAGAGUCAGGCAGGGGCAUUUCCAUUCCUAGCUUGGGCAGUGGCUAGCAAGUGGAAGGCAAUCUGCUACAAGU
Molecule: small nucleolar RNA, 133 nt
Organism: Ornithorhynchus anatinus (platypus)
Lineage: Eukaryota; Metazoa; Chordata; Mammalia; Monotremata; Ornithorhynchidae
Source: RefSeq, a predicted model, not a curated record